GAUGAACGCUGGCGGCGUGCCUAAUACAUGCAAGUCGAGCGAACGGACGAGAAGCUUGCUUCUCUGAUGUUAGCGGCGGACGGGUGAGUAACACGUGGAUAACCUACCUAUAAGACUGGGAUAACUUCGGGAAACCGGAGCUAAUACCGGAUAAUCUUUUGAACCGCAUGGUUCAAAAGUGAAAGACGGUCUUGCUGUCACUUAUAGAUGGAUCCGCGCUGCAUUAGCUAGUUGGUAAGGUAACGGCUUACCAAGGCAACGAUGCAUAGCCGACCUGAGAGGGUGAUCGGCCACACUGGAACUGAGACACGGUCCAGACUCCUACGGGAGGCAGCAGUAGGGAAUCGUCCGCAAUGGGCGAAAGCCUGACGGAGCAACGCCGCGUGAGUGAUGAAGGUCUUCGGAUCGUAAAACUCUGUUAUUAGGGAAGAACAUAUGUGUAAGUAACUGUGCACAGCUUGACGGUACCUAAUCAGAAAGCCACGGCUAACUACGUG
This 497-nucleotide ribosomal RNA is filed under the name uncultured bacterium. Its description in RNAcentral is "partial 16S ribosomal RNA". It matches the Rfam family "Bacterial small subunit ribosomal RNA", at positions 28 to 507 of the family's 1533-position model. The record is from RNAcentral.